This 158-nucleotide ribosomal RNA is filed under the name Septobasidium burtii. RNAcentral describes it as "5.8S ribosomal RNA". It matches the Rfam family "5.8S ribosomal RNA". Rfam says of the family: 5.8S ribosomal RNA (5.8S rRNA) is a component of the large subunit of the eukaryotic ribosome. It is transcribed by RNA polymerase I as part of the 45S precursor that also contains 18S and 28S rRNA. Lineage: Eukaryota; Fungi; Basidiomycota; Pucciniomycetes; Septobasidiales; Septobasidiaceae. The record is from RNAcentral.
AAACUUUCAACAACGGAUCUCUUGGUUCUCGCAUCGAUGAAGAACGCAGCGAAAUGCGAUAAGUAAUGUGAAUUGCAGAAUUCAGUGAAUCAUCGAAUCUUUGAACGCACCUUGCACCUUUUGGUAUUCCGAAAGGUACAUCUGUUUGAGUGUCUUGA